UAACCGGCGAUUUCCGAAUGGGGAAACCCAGUGUGUUUCGACACACUAUCAUUAACUGAAUCCAUAGGUUAAUGAGGCGAACCGGGGGAACUGAAACAUCUAAGUACCCCGAGGAAAAGAAAUCAACCGAGAUUCCCCCAGUAGCGGCGAGCGAACGGGGAGGAGCCCAGAGCCUGAAUCAGUGUGUGUGUUAGUGGAAGCGUCUGGAAAGGCGCGCGAUACAGGGUGACAGCCCCGUACACAAAAAUGCACAUGCUGUGAGCUCGAUGAGUAGGGCGGGACACGUGGUAUCCUGUCUGAAUAUGGGGGGACCAUCCUCCAAGGCUAAAUACUCCUGACUGACCGAUAGUGAACCAGUACCGUGAGGGAAAGGCGAAAAGAACCCCGGCGAGGGGAGUGAAAAAGAACCUGAAACCGUGUACGUACAAGCAGUGGGAGCCUCUUAAUGGGGUGACUGCGUACCUUUUGUAUAAUGGGUCAGCGACUUAUAUUCUGUAGCAAGGUUAACCGAAUAGGGGAGCCGAAGGGAAACCGAGUCUUAACUGGGCGUUAAGUUGCAGGGUAUAGACCCGAAACCCGGUGAUCUAGCCAUGGGCAGGUUGAAGGUUGGGUAACACUAACUGGAGGACCGAACCGACUAAUGUUGAAAAAUUAGCGGAUGACUUGUGGCUGGGGGUGAAAGGCCAAUCAAACCGGGAGAUAGCUGGUUCUCCCCGAAAGCUAUUUAGGUAGCGCCUCGUGAAUUCAUCUCCGGGGGUAGAGCACUGUUUCGGCAAGGGGGUCAUCCCGACUUACCAACCCGAUGCAAACUGCGAAUACCGGAGAAUGUUAUCACGGGAGACACACGGCGGGUGCUAACGUCCGUCGUGAAGAGGGAAACAACCCAGACCGCCAGCUAAGGUCCCAAAGUCAUGGUUAAGUGGGAAACGAUGUGGGAAGGCCCAGACAGCCAGGAUGUUGGCUUAGAAGCAGCCAUCAUUUAAAGAAAGCGUAAUAGCUCACUGGUCGAGUCGGCCUGCGCGGAAGAUGUAACGGGGCUAAACCAUGCACCGAAGCUGCGGCAGCGACACUAUGUGUUGUUGGGUAGGGGAGCGUUCUGUAAGCCUGUGAAGGUGUGCUGUGAGGCAUGCUGGAGGUAUCAGAAGUGCGAAUGCUGACAUAAGUAACGAUAAAGCGGGUGAAAAGCCCGCUCGCCGGAAGACCAAGGGUUCCUGUCCAACGUUAAUCGGGGCAGGGUGAGUCGACCCCUAAGGCGAGGCCGAAAGGCGUAGUCGAUGGGAAACAGGUUAAUAUUCCUGUACUUGGUGUUACUGCGAAGGGGGGACGGAGAAGGCUAUGUUGGCCGGGCGACGGUUGUCCCGGUUUAAGCGUGUAGGCUGGUUUUCCAGGCAAAUCCGGAAAACCAAGGCUGAGGCGUGAUGACGAGGCACUACGGUGCUGAAGCGACAAAUGCCCUGCUUCCAGGAAAAGCCUCUAAGCAUCAGGUAACAUCAAAUCGUACCCCAAACCGACACAGGUGGUCAGGUAGAGAAUACCAAGGCGCUUGAGAGAACUCGGGUGAAGGAACUAGGCAAAAUGGUGCCGUAACUUCGGGAGAAGGCACGCUGAUAUGUAGGUGAAGCGACUUGCUCGUGGAGCUGAAAUCAGUCGAAGAUACCAGCUGGCUGCAACUGUUUAUUAAAAACACAGCACUGUGCAAACACGAAAGUGGACGUAUACGGUGUGACGCCUGCCCGGUGCCGGAAGGUUAAUUGAUGGGGUUAGCGGUAACGCGAAGCUCUUGAUCGAAGCCCCGGUAAACGGCGGCCGUAACUAUAACGGUCCUAAGGUAGCGAAAUUCCUUGUCGGGUAAGUUCCGACCUGCACGAAUGGCGUAAUGAUGGCCAGGCUGUCUCCACCCGAGACUCAGUGAAAUUGAACUCGCUGUGAAGAUGCAGUGUACCCGCGGCAAGACGGAAAGACCCCGUGAACCUUUACUAUAGCUUGACACUGAACAUUGAGCCUUGAUGUGUAGGAUAGGUGGGAGGCUUUGAAGUGUGGACGCCAGUCUGCAUGGAGCCGACCUUGAAAUACCACCCUUUAAUGUUUGAUGUUCUAACGUUGGCCCGUAAUCCGGGUUGCGGACAGUGUCUGGUGGGUAGUUUGACUGGGGCGGUCUCCUCCUAAAGAGUAACGGAGGAGCACGAAGGUUGGCUAAUCCUGGUCGGACAUCAGGAGGUUAGUGCAAUGGCAUAAGCCAGCUUGACUGCGAGCGUGACGGCGCGAGCAGGUGCGAAAGCAGGUCAUAGUGAUCCGGUGGUUCUGAAUGGAAGGGCCAUCGCUCAACGGAUAAAAGGUACUCCGGGGAUAACAGGCUGAUACCGCCCAAGAGUUCAUAUCGACGGCGGUGUUUGGCACCUCGAUGUCGGCUCAUCACAUCCUGGGGCUGAAGUAGGUCCCAAGGGUAUGGCUGUUCGCCAUUUAAAGUGGUACGCGAGCUGGGUUUAGAACGUCGUGAGACAGUUCGGUCCCUAUCUGCCGUGGGCGCUGGAGAACUGAGGGGGGCUGCUCCUAGUACGAGAGGACCGGAGUGGACGCAUCACUGGUGUUCGGGUUGUCAUGCCAAUGGCACUGCCCGGUAGCUAAAUGCGGAAGAGAUAAGUGCUGAAAGCAUCUAAGCACGAAACUUGCCCCGAGAUGAGUUCUCCCUGAGACUUAGAGUCUCCUGAAGGAACGUUGAAGACGACGACGUUGAUAGGCCGGGUGUGUAAGCGCAGCGAUGCGUUGAGCUAACCGGUACUAAUGAACCGUGAGGCUUAACCU
RNAcentral lists this ribosomal RNA (2802 nucleotides) under Escherichia coli. Its description in RNAcentral is "23S ribosomal RNA". It matches the Rfam family "Bacterial large subunit ribosomal RNA". The record is from RNAcentral. Lineage: Bacteria; Pseudomonadati; Pseudomonadota; Gammaproteobacteria; Enterobacterales; Enterobacteriaceae.